UCAAAGUUCAGAAAUCCCUGUUGGACGACCCAUUGCAAGUCGGAUCUACGUAUAUUUGGCUAUUCAGUCAAAUCAAACUUCAGUUCAGGUAUUCAUGUGAUCUAUUUGGGGAAACAAAUCUCCAAAUUGGAUAUUCACCAGUAUUAUCCUUUGGAUUCAUCAAGCGCAUUUUGAAAUUUCGCUCAUAAAUUCAACGAACUCUGGAGCAGGCAACGGCAAUACGUUUUUGAUAUUGUACAUAUCAGCUUACAAGAGAGUUGAUAAUUUAAUUUAAGAUAGUCCAGAUAAUAAAUUAGGAUUGUCUGAUAGUUUCUGAAGUGAAAAAUACAUUGAAGAAAUGUUAAAAUCUGAUCACAGCGAUCAGGAGUCUGCCAAGCUUGGUGAAUCUAGCUGUGCCUCUAAGAUGCACGAAUGAUUAAGAUAUAGUAUUUUAUAAGAAAGUACUAACGAGAAGAGAAUUUUGGCUUGAAUAAAUUUGGUGGAGAAUAAUUGAAGAUAAUGUGAUAUUUCGAAACCGUUAAAAACAUGAAUAUCGCCGAUCACUUUGGUACUAUUUUCGAAAUGAUUUCGAACGAACAAUCAAAUGAGUCUAAAUCAGUAAAAGAAUCGAUGACAUACAGGAAUACCA
Molecule: long non-coding RNA, 628 nt
Organism: Leptinotarsa decemlineata (Colorado potato beetle)
Lineage: Eukaryota; Metazoa; Arthropoda; Insecta; Coleoptera; Chrysomelidae
Source: RefSeq, a predicted model, not a curated record